CAAAAAAUCUACUUAUUAAAAGUUGUUGGACCUAUUCACUAGCCUUAACUAUUUUUUUGGUCUCACCUUAUAUUUCUCUAACUAUACACUAAUCAAUUACCUUAUAUUUCUCUAACUAGAAAAUAACCAAUGCUCUUAUUUAAUACUCAACUUACUAUAAUACACCAAAGAUUUAUACAUCAAUAUUAUUAAUUCAGAA
Molecule: long non-coding RNA, 199 nt
Filed under: Brassica napus (rape)
Lineage: Eukaryota; Viridiplantae; Streptophyta; Magnoliopsida; Brassicales; Brassicaceae
Description: long non-coding RNA (BNAP_LNC005399)
Source: RNAcentral